Molecule: ribosomal RNA, 498 nt
Filed under: uncultured bacterium
Lineage: Bacteria
Description: partial 16S ribosomal RNA
Rfam family: Bacterial small subunit ribosomal RNA
Source: RNAcentral
ACUCAAAUGAAUUGACGGGGACCCGCACAAGCGGUGGAGCAUGUGGUUUAAUUCGACGCAACGCGAAGAACCUUACCUGGACUAGAAUGUGAGGGAAUGUUGGGUAACACCAUCAGUCUGAGAAAUCAGACCCAAAACAAGGUGCUGCAUGGCUGUCGUCAGCUCGUGUCGUGAGAUGUUGGGUUAAGUCCCGCAACGAGCGCAACCCUUAACUUCAGUUGCCAUCAUUAGGUUGGGAACUCUGGAGUGACUGCCGUUGAUAAAACGGAGGAAGGUGGGGAUGAUGUCAAGUCAUCAUGGCCUUUAUGUUCAGGGCUACACACGUGCUACAAUGGCCGGUACAAAACGUCGCGAUCUCGUAAGAGGGAGCUAAUCGCAAAAACCGGUCUCAGUUCGGAUUGAAGUCUGCAACUCGACUUCAUGAAGUUGGAAUCGCUAGUAAUCGCGCAUCAGAACGGCGCGGUGAAUACGUUCCCGGGUCUUGUACACACCGCCCGU